GCCUCCCUCCGCCGCCACUCAGACUACCUACCGGGGCGACGGCAGUGGGAAGGUUUGGUCGGCAAUGGGAAACCGUCGACGCAGCAACGACCGCCGUCGGGAGGGAGUGAAAUACCCUUCGGGAGUGUAAACUCCUUUCGAUCGGGAAGAUAAUGACGGUACCGAGAGAAGAAGACCCGGCUAACUUCGUGCCAGCAGCCCGGUAAUUC
RNAcentral lists this ribosomal RNA (209 nucleotides) under uncultured bacterium. RNAcentral's name for it is "partial 16S ribosomal RNA". The record is from RNAcentral.